AGGACGAACGCUGGCGGCGUGCUUAACACAUGCAAGUCGAACGGUAAGGCCCUUCGGGGUACACGAGUGGCGAACGGGUGAGUAACACGUGGGUGACCUGCCUCGAGCUCUGGGAUAAGCCUGGGAAACUGGGUCUAAUACCGGAUAUGACCUCAUGUCGCAUGGUGUGGGGUGGAAAGUUUUUCGGCUCGAGAUGGGCCCGCGGCCUAUCAGCUUGUUGGUGGGGUGAUGGCCUACCAAGGCGACGAU
Molecule: ribosomal RNA, 249 nt
Filed under: uncultured soil bacterium
Lineage: Bacteria
Description: partial 16S ribosomal RNA
Rfam family: Bacterial small subunit ribosomal RNA
Source: RNAcentral